RNAcentral lists this long non-coding RNA (1118 nucleotides) under Anser brachyrhynchus (Pink-footed goose). Its description in RNAcentral is "lncRNA (ENSABRG00000004076.1)". Lineage: Eukaryota; Metazoa; Chordata; Aves; Anseriformes; Anatidae. The record is from RNAcentral.
GUGGCUGAGGCAUGGCACCAAAAAAAAAAAAAAAAAGGCAUUUCAAAGGUCCUUGUUAAGCUGCCCUGUGCAAUACAGCAAAUCCAGGCUGGUGGUGCAUUUUCAGUCAUGGCUCAGCAGGUAGGAUUUGGAGGGGGUGGUGGUGGUGUUAAUGCAGAUGCUUCACCUCAGAGGACACCAGGAAAAGACGGUGUGGUUGAUGUGGUCAUCUUCUCAUAGAGCAAGCACAAUCUGUCGCUUCCAUCAAUCCCCUGAUCUCAAAAUCGAGGUGAUACCUGAUUUCUGUGCAGAAUGGUGUGUGUGGCCCUAAUUUAGGCACCUGGCGGGGCGAUGCUCAUGGUGGGCACAGGGCUGGGAGAGAGGGGGUGCUGGGAGGGGUCAGAAAAGGCUCGGGAUUGUGUUUGUGCUCUGGGAGUAUGUGGGGAGCAGGGGGCAGGGGUAGGCAGUGAGCAGGACUUCCUGGGUGGAGGAAAAGUGAGGAGAGAAUUGGCUUUUGUUUCUUCUUCCACAUAAAAGCUUUGCUGCAGUGCAGAAGGAAGAAGGGGAGUAUUUUCAGCUGUGAGGGGGUCCUUCCUGAGAGACCCUGGCUAAACCUGGGAAGAAAUAUCAGAGAUCUCGGCUCUACCUGGUUUCACGUGGCAGGUUACCUGAGGAACAGACAUCUAGCAGUGAGAGUUCAAUCCUGUCUACUUGAACAGCUUUCUGCCUACAAACAAGGCCUUUCAGCUGCCUGGGGUCAAAAACAGGUGAGAGCUGCCAGCAGUCAAGGUGCUGUGAGCCAGCAGGCCCUGCACAGCCAUCGUGGGACACUGGUUUCAGGCCAGCUGGGUCUUGUGGGUCAUGCUGUGAAUCUCCCAGGAGGACACAGGUGCCUGAAGAGACACCAAAGUCCUGCUGUGAGGUGCGUGUCUUAUACCUACUCUGUUUGAGACUGGCAUUUUUGGCACCUACAAGCAAGAGCCUUCUGACCAUGUACCCUCUUGCACGAAUGUCAGCCAAGUAAUAAGCGGCACGAAUGCAGCCAAACUGUGUUUAGGAGCCACAGGCAGACUGUCUGAAGCAGACUUUGUUCCAUCUUCUUUGUGGCUGGAGGGAAAAAAUGCCAUAGGCAGCUUUUU